GACGAACGCUGGCGGCGUGCUUAACACAUGCAAGUCGAACGGUAAGGCCCUUCGGGGUACACGAGUGGCGAACGGGUGAGUAACACGUGGGUGAUCUGCCCUGCACUUCGGGAUAAGCCUGGGAAACUGGGUCUAAUACCGGAUAGGACCCUGGGAUGCAUGUCCUGGGGUGGAAAGCUUUUGCGGUGUGGGAUGGGCCCGCGGCCUACCAGCUUGUUGGUGGGGUGAUGGCCUACCAAGGCGACGACGGGUAGCCGGCCUGAGAGGGUGACGCGCCACACUGGGACUGGGAUACGGCCCAGACUCCUACGGGAGGCAGCAGUGGGGAAUAUUGCACAAUGGGCGCAAGCCUGAUGCAGCGACGCCGCGUGAGGGAUGACGGCCUUCGGGUUGUAAACCUCUUUCAGCACCGACGAAGCGCAAGUGACGGUAGGUGCAGAAGAAGGACCGGCCAACUACGUGCCAGCCGCCGCAGUAA
RNAcentral lists this ribosomal RNA (478 nucleotides) under uncultured bacterium. RNAcentral's name for it is "partial 16S ribosomal RNA". It matches the Rfam family "Bacterial small subunit ribosomal RNA", at positions 28 to 523 of the family's 1533-position model. The record is from RNAcentral.